RNAcentral lists this ribosomal RNA (339 nucleotides) under Triticum aestivum (bread wheat). RNAcentral describes it as "partial small subunit ribosomal RNA". The record is from RNAcentral. Lineage: Eukaryota; Viridiplantae; Streptophyta; Magnoliopsida; Poales; Poaceae.
AUGGAGUCGAAUGUGUACAACUUCGGCGGACUGCUGCUGGAGAUGAUCACGGGGUGGAGGCCCAUUGACCCCGCCCAACCCACUGCCGAGGAUCAGAACCUUGUCGCAUGGGCCACGCGACUAAUGAAGGACAGGAGCCAAUUCCGAAGGAUGGCAGACCCGGCGCUGCAGGGUUGGUACCCGUCCAUGGAUUUGGAGGAGGCCCUGACAGUUGCUUCCAUGUGCGUCCACCAACAGCCGACCAUGAGAUCGCCCAUCGGCACCCUCGUCACAUCUCUGUCUCGCCUCGCCUAUGAUGUCGAUCCACUCGAAUCAUCACACCCUGCGACACCUAGUUAA